UACGGGGGGAGCAAGCGUUGUUCGGAAUUACUGGGCGUAAAGGGCGCGUAGGCGGCCUCUUAAGUCGAACGUGAAAUCCCCGGGCUCAACCCGGGAACUGCGUCCGAUACUGGGAGGCUUGAAUCCGGGAGAGGGAUGUGGAAUUCCAGGUGUAGCGGUGAAAUGCGUAGAUAUCGGGAGGAACAUCAGUGGCGAAGGCGGCUACCUGGCCCAAUACUGACACUCAGGUGCGACAGCGUGGGGAGCAAACAGG
This 253-nucleotide ribosomal RNA is filed under the name uncultured bacterium. Its description in RNAcentral is "partial 16S ribosomal RNA". It matches the Rfam family "Bacterial small subunit ribosomal RNA", at positions 524 to 776 of the family's 1533-position model. The record is from RNAcentral.